GAGUUUGAUCCUGGCUCAGAACGAACGCUGGCGGCGUGCUUAACACAUGCAAGUCAGGGAGAAAGUCUCUUCGGGGAUGAUUAAACCGGCGCACGGGUGAGUAACACGUGAGUGACCUGCCUUUUAGACUGGAACAACUUACCGAAAGGUGAGCUAAUGCCGGAUGAGUUAUAUAAGUGCAUGUUUAUAUAGGAAAAGUUGGGGAGACCUGACGCUGAAAGAUGGACUCGCGUCCCAUUAGCUAGUUGGUAGGGUAAUGGCCUACCAAGGCGACGAUGGGUAGCCGGCCUGAGAGGGUGGCCGGCCACACUGGGACUGAGACACGGCCCAGACUCCUACGGGAGGCAGCAGUGGGGAAUUUUGCGCAAUGCUCGUAAGAGUGACGCAGCGACGCCGCGUGAAUGACGAAGGCCUUCGGGUCGUAAAGUUCUUUCGACAGGGAAGAAAAUGCCUAUAAGUAACUGUGUAUGUAUUGACGGUACCUGUAUAAGCAGCCCCGGCUAACUCCGUGCCAGCAGCCGCGGUAAUACGGAGGGGGCGAGCGUUGUUCGGAGUGACUGGGCGUAAAGAGCACGUAGGCGGUGUUGUAAGUCAUUAGUCAAAGACUAGAGCUCAACUUUAGUAAGGCUAGUGAUACUAUAAUACUAGAGUAUCAGAGAGGAUUGCAGAAUUCCUGGUGUAGCGGUGAAAUGCG
RNAcentral lists this ribosomal RNA (694 nucleotides) under uncultured bacterium. RNAcentral's name for it is "bacterial SSU rRNA". It matches the Rfam family "Bacterial small subunit ribosomal RNA", at positions 9 to 690 of the family's 1533-position model. The record is from RNAcentral.